Molecule: ribosomal RNA, 251 nt
Filed under: uncultured bacterium
Lineage: Bacteria
Description: partial 16S ribosomal RNA
Rfam family: Bacterial small subunit ribosomal RNA
Source: RNAcentral
UACGGGGGGGCAAGCGUUGUUCGGAAUUACUGGGCGUAAAGGGCUCGUAGGCGGCCAACUAAGUCAGACGUGAAAUCCCUCGGCUUAACCGGGGAACUGCGUCUGAUACUGGAUGGCUUGAGUUCGGGAGAGGGAUGUGGAAUUCCAGGUGUAGCGGUGAAAUGCGUAGAUAUCUGGAGGAACACCGGUGGCGAAGGCGGCAUCCUGGACCGACACUGACGCUGAGGAGCGAAAGCCAGGGGAGCAAACGG